CCUACGGGAGGCAGCAGUGGGGAAUCUUGCACAAUGGAGGAAACUCUGAUGCAGCGAUGCCGCGUGAGUGAAGAAGGCCUUUGGGUUGUAAAGCUCUUUUGUAGGGGAAGAUAAUGACUGUACCCUAAGAAUAAGGUCCGGCUAACUUCGUGCCAGCAGCCGCGGUAAUACGAAGGGACCUAGCGUAGUUCGGAAUUACUGGGCGUAAAGCGCGCGUAGGCCGUUGAGUUAGUUAAUUGUGAAAUCCCAAAGCUUAACUUUGGAACUGCAAUUAAAACUGCUCGACUAGAGUUUGAUAGAGGAAAGCGGAAUACAUAGUGUAGAGGUGAAAUUCGUAGAUAUUAUGUAGAACACCAGUUGCGAAGGCGGCUUUCUGGAUCAACACUGACGCUGAGGCGCGAAAGUAUGGGUAGCAAAGAGGAUUAGAUACCCUCGUAGUCCAUACCAUAAACGAUGAUUGCUAGAUGUUGGAAAUUUAUUUUCAGUAUCGCAGCUAACGCAUUAAGCAAUCCGCCUGGGGAUACGACCGCAAGGUUAAAACUCAAAGGAAUUGACCGGNNGAGAGNGCGAGACGACACGAGGAGAG
Molecule: ribosomal RNA, 586 nt
Filed under: uncultured bacterium
Lineage: Bacteria
Description: bacterial SSU rRNA
Rfam family: Bacterial small subunit ribosomal RNA
Source: RNAcentral